GACAGAGGGUGCAAACGUUGUUCGGAAUUACUGGGCGUAAAGCGAGUGUAGGCGGUUCUCUAAGUCGGGUGUGAAAGCCCCGGGCUCAACCCGGGAAGUGCACUCGAAACUGGAGAGCUAGAGUAUCGGAGAGGUUGGUGGAAUUCUCGGUGUAGAGGUGAAAUUCGUAGAUAUCGAGAGGAACACCGGUGGCGAAGGCGGCCAACUGGACGAAUACUGACGCUGAGACUCGAAAGCGUGGGGAGCAAACAGG
This 253-nucleotide ribosomal RNA is filed under the name uncultured bacterium. RNAcentral describes it as "partial 16S ribosomal RNA". It matches the Rfam family "Bacterial small subunit ribosomal RNA", at positions 524 to 776 of the family's 1533-position model. The record is from RNAcentral.